AUUGUUUGACUUCCACCAGACACACUUCAGAAACCCUUCAUCAGUGUUAGUGACUAUGAGGAUCUGCUCAUCAUAGCAUGUGAAAUACCAGCUUCAGUCAGAGCUGAUGUGUCCUGUAAUCUCUACACUGGAGAUGGAGCUCUUCUGUACAGCCAUGACUCUCAGUUGAGUUCAUCUGGAGAUCAACAUCUUUGUAUGUUUAAUCAAAAUCUUAGUGAUCUCUUGAGAAGAUCAGGAAACAUCAGACAGUUGAGCUGUGAUUAUUCACUCAAGACUAAACCUGACAUCAGAUCUCCACACAGUGACACAUACACACUCAGAGUUGUCUCAGGUUCAACACCAAACACCACUGAACAGAAAACUACAACAGCCGAGAAAACCUGUGAGUAACUGUGUUUAUACAUCAAAAAUUUUUUAUAUUUUUUACUUAACCAUAAAUGUCCUUAUGAUUAUUAGAUGC
RNAcentral lists this long non-coding RNA (460 nucleotides) under Danio rerio (zebrafish). Its description in RNAcentral is "lncRNA (ENSDARG00000117656.1)". Lineage: Eukaryota; Metazoa; Chordata; Actinopteri; Cypriniformes; Danionidae. The record is from RNAcentral.